AGCGAACGCUGGCGGCAGGCUUAACACAUGCAAGUCGAACGGGCACUUCGGUGUCAGUGGCAGACGGGUGAGUAACACGUGGGAACGUACCUCUUGGUUCGGAACAACACAGGGAAACUUGUGCUAAUACCGGAUAAGCCCUUACGGGGAAAGAUUCAUCGCCGAGAGAUCGGCCCGCGUCUGAUUAGCUAGUUGGUAGGGUAAUGGCCUACCAAGGCGACGAUCAGUAGCUGGGCUGAGAGGAUGAUCAGCGACAUUGGGACUGAGACACGGCCCAAACUCCUACGGGAGGCAGCAGUGGGGAAUAUUGGACAAUGGGGGCAACCCUGAUCCAGCCAUGUCGCGUGAGUGAUGAAGGCCCUAGGGUUGUAAAGCUCUUUUGUGCGGGAAGAUAAUGACGGUACCGCAAGAAUAAGCCCCGGCUAACUUCGUGCCAGCCGCCGCGGUAA
Molecule: ribosomal RNA, 449 nt
Filed under: uncultured bacterium
Lineage: Bacteria
Description: partial 16S ribosomal RNA
Rfam family: Bacterial small subunit ribosomal RNA
Source: RNAcentral